Non-coding RNA from Cricetulus griseus (Chinese hamster), 361 nucleotides. NCBI's taxonomy places the organism in Eukaryota, Metazoa, Chordata, Mammalia, Rodentia, Cricetidae. The record is from RefSeq and is a predicted model, not a curated record.
GCCUGCAUGCUUUUUGUUGCUGUGUCAGUUUUGUGUUUUCUGGUCUGCUGUUUCUGUUAAUUUUGUAAACUGUGCUGUCUGUCGAAGUUUCACAAUUGUUCUGUGUGUUUGUUAAGCGUCUCUCUCUGUCCUUACUGCCCACCCACGUGGCAUUCGUGGGUCAGGGGUCUUUUCUUGCCCUGAGCAUGUGGCGUGCGGGAUAGGAGUUCCUCUGCCAUGUGCCAUGGGUUGGAGUGUCCUGCGGCACAGUCCCCUGAGGCUACUGCUCUGAACUCCAACCACUGCUGUGGCCCUCACAGCUGAGCCUGGCCGGUGCAGACACAUCUGAGUAUCAGUACUCAGUACAGGCUGUUCUAAGAAG